UCCCAGACUCCUACGGGAGGCAGCAGUGAGGAAUAUUGGUCAAUGGUCGGGAGACUGAACCAGCCAAGCCGCGUGAGGGAGGAAGGUACAGAGUAUCGUAAACCUCUUUUGUCAGGGAGCAAAGGCGUCCACGUGUGGACGAGAGGAGAGUACCUGAAGAAAAAGCAUCGGCUAACUCCGUGCCAGCAGCCGCGGUAAUACGGAGGAUGCGAGCGUUAUCCGGAUUUAUUGGGUUUAAAGGGUGCGUAGGCGGAGUGUCAAGUCAGCGGUAAAAUUUCGGGGCUCAACCCCGUCGUGCCGUUGAAACUGACGCCCUUGAGUGAGUGAGAAGUAAGCGGAAUGCGUGGUGUAGCGGUGAAAUGCAUAGAUAUCACGCAGAACGCCGAUUGCGAAGGCAGCGUACCGGCGCUCAACUGACGCUGAGGCACGAAAGUGCGGGUAUCGAACAGGAUUAGAUACCCGAGUAAAA
Molecule: ribosomal RNA, 469 nt
Filed under: uncultured bacterium
Lineage: Bacteria
Description: bacterial SSU rRNA
Rfam family: Bacterial small subunit ribosomal RNA
Source: RNAcentral